AGACAUAUCUCUUUUUUUUCCCAAUAUUUGGGAUGAAACAAUGAUAUACAGUUACCUGUUUUGUAUACGAGCCAGCAAGGAAGAAGUUCUUCACAGGUGUCUUUUGAUCAGGUCUGAAGGGGUCUUUACCAGGUCCCUCACGGUACAAAGAUUGCCCGAUUUUGACAACAGAUGACCAAAUAACUUCUAAACCUUGGGAUGAUGGAAAUAGAGCUAAAACCUAAUAAAAUGAACCAUGAAUGGAUAAUUUGUACUGAUGUAUGUUAUCCAGAAAGUUGCAUGACCUUUUGUGGUACUCAGGUCACUAAAAAAAACGUGAGAUAAACAUCUAGGAUAAGAAAACCAAAAAUAGUAACCUAAUAUGUAUUAUAUGAAUUGAAGGUGUCACUGAACGCUACCAACCUGCUUUGCCACUCUCCUUAUGAUUUCAUCAUUUGGUAAGGGCAUGUAAGGAUCGCCAGGCGUCAAAACACAUCUGCAAGAUAAUAUGGUUAUAGUGAGAAACACAGAAUACAAAGACACUUGGCAAAAGGAAGUCAACCAGAUUCCAUGCACAAAAUGAAACUAAAAACGACAAGGAUUAGAAAUUUUUCUUACUGGAGUAAUGAACCUUGCCCUUCUCUGUAGUAGUCUUCUGGUGAAGUGAGUGCUAGAUCUGCAAAGCAAGAGAAAUCUGCAUCUGGAGUAUACAAAAGGUUAUCUAACCCCAGAGCUUGCCUCAAUUGCCUACAUGUUCAAAACAAGGAUCUGUUAAAAAAUGGAAAUUUCUUCAAUGCCUUAGUAAAGGGAAGUGAAGUGAAAGCAUUUUAAUUAUUUAUGUUAUUUUUGAAUAAUGGAUAAGGUAUCUUAUGGUGUUAAUAUAAGUAUGUAAUUACAUUUAACUUACUUAUUUAUUAGUAAUGUCAUAUUUAUAAAUUUUUUAAUUAAAUAAAUAUUUUUUUAAAGAUUGGCGAAUUUUUACGGAUUUACAAAAGUAAAUCCAUAUCCAAUCCACCGCUUGUGGAUUUUUAAAUUUUUAAUCCAAUUCAAUCCACCAAUCCACGGAUAAGAUUUUUACGAACCAAAUUUUUACGGAUCGGACGAAUUGAGCUGAUCGAACCGGAUUCUGAACACCCCUACUAUUGGGUUUCACUUUGUUUUACAUGAAUUUGGGAAAAAUACACGGAUAGACAAGGGAACAGUCAUUGUUAAGCUGUGAAGCUUGUGGAAGAUACCAUUGCCUAUUUGCAGCUUAAACUCCUGGAGCUUUGCUCAUGCUUUCUCUUUCCCACUUUCUCAUGGAACAGAUGUAUACAUCAUGAAAUGAAAACAACAGCACAAAUUGCUGUCUCGUAAGAGAAACAGUCAUACAUAGUAGGUUAGGCCUCAUGUCCAUUAACUUACUAAUGAAUUUUAUGAAAAUUGGCUAUCUCAUUGAAAUUACAUAGGUAUUGGAAACCCUUACUCCAGCUGCAUCAUCUCAUCAGUGAAAGCUGGAUUUUCCAUUUGUUCUUGAGAUUCAUAUUAAGGCAGCAAAUUGCUCAUCCCAUACUAUCUAUGUAAUCCUGUAAAAGGGAAGGGCGUUUAGAUGUGGAAAAACCUUACUCCUGCCGCUGCACCUCAAACAGAUUGCGAUCACACAAGACUUAGUUCAUCAUUAGUAGUAGUUGGAGCUUCCAUUUGUUCUUGAGAUUCAAAGGCAGCAAGCUGCUUCCUCAGUGCUACUAAUUCUUCCCCGGCAUUGCAUAUGUAGGCUGAGGCUUGUCUACCAGACAAAGUUGCUCCUUCCAUACUAUCUAUGUAAUCCUGUGAGAGUGAAACCAUUUAGGAGACAUAUCUCUUUUUUUUCCCAAUAUUUGGGAUGAAACAAUGAUAUACAGUUACCUGUUUUGUAUACGAGCCAGCAAGGAAGAAGUUCUUCACAGGUGUCUUUUGAUCAGGUCUGAAGGGGUCUUUACCAGGUCCCUCACGGUACAAAGAUUGCCCGAUUUUGACAACAGAUGACCAAAUAACUUCUAAACCUUGGGAUGAUGGAAAUAGAGCUAAAACCUAAUAAAAUGAACCAUGAAUGGAUAAUUUGUACUGAUGUAUGUUAUCCAGAAAGUUGCAUGACCUUUUGUGGUACUCAGGUCACUAAAAAAAACGUGAGAUAAACAUCUAGGAUAAGAAAACCAAAAAUAGUAACCUAAUAUGUAUUAUAUGAAUUGAAGGUGUCACUGAACGCU
This 2204-nucleotide long non-coding RNA is filed under the name Citrus sinensis (sweet orange). Its description in RNAcentral is "long non-coding RNA (CSIN_LNC001299)". Lineage: Eukaryota; Viridiplantae; Streptophyta; Magnoliopsida; Sapindales; Rutaceae. The record is from RNAcentral.